AUUAGCCAUGCAUGUCUCAGUACAAGCCGAAUUAAGGUGAAACCGCGAAAGGCUCAUUAAAUCAGUUAUGGUUCCUUAGAUCGUACCCACAUUUACUUGGAUAACUGUGGUAAUUCUAGAGCUAAUACAUGCAAACAGAGCUCCAACCGGAAACGGAAGGAGCGCUUUUAUUAGAUCAAAACCAAUCGGUGGCGGUCUCCGUCAUCGUACAACUUGGUGAAUCUGAAUAACUUUACGCUGAUCGCACGGUCUCGCACCGGCGACGCAUCUUUCAAAUGUCUGCCUUAUCAACUGUCGAUGGUAGGUUCUGCGCCUACCAUGGUUGUAACGGGUAACGGGGAAUCAGGGUUCGAUUCCGGAGAGGGAGCCUGAGAAACGGCUACCACAUCCAAGGAAGGCAGCAGGCGCGCAAAUUACCCACUCCCGGCACGGGGAGGUAGUGACGAAAAAUAACGAUACGGGACUCAUCCGAGGCCCCGUAAUCGGAAUGAGUACACUCUAAACCCUUUAACGAGGAUCAAUUGGAGGGCAAGUCUGGUGCCAGCAGCCGCGGUAAUUCCAGCUCCAAUAGCGUAUAUUAAAGUUGUUGCGGUUAAAAAGCUCGUAGUCGAAUUUGUGUCCCGCGCCGCCGGUUCAUCGUUCGCGGUGUUAACUGGCGUGCCGCGGGACGUCCUGCCGGUGGGCUUAGCUCGAGAGGGCGGCCCAACUCAAUCCCGCCGCGGUGCUCUUCAUUGAGUGUCGAGGUGGGCCGGCACGUUUACUUUGAACAAAUUAGAGUGCUUAAAGCAGGCUAAAACUUCGCCUGAAUACUGUGUGCAUGGAAUAAUGGAAUAGGACCUCGGUUCUAUUUUGUUGGUUUUCGGAACCCCGAGGUAAUGAUUAAUAGGAACGGAUGGGGGCAUUCGUAUUGCGACGUUAGAGGUGAAAUUCUUGGAUCGUCGCAAGACGGACAGAAGCGAAAGCAUUUGCCAAAAACGCUUUCAUUGAUCAAGAACGAAAG
Molecule: ribosomal RNA, 1000 nt
Filed under: Opatrum subaratum
Lineage: Eukaryota; Metazoa; Arthropoda; Insecta; Coleoptera; Tenebrionidae
Description: SSU rRNA
Rfam family: Eukaryotic small subunit ribosomal RNA
Source: RNAcentral